AUUGAACGCUGGCGGCAGGCCUAACACAUGCAAGUCGAACGAGUGGCGGACGGGUGAGUAAUGUCUGGGAAACUGCCCGAUGGAGGGGGAUAACUACUGGAAACGGUAGCUAAUACCGCAUACCAUCGGAGGUGCCCCGAUGGGAUUAGCUAGUAGGUGGGGUAACGGCUCACCUAGGCGGCGAUCCCUAGCUGGUAUGCGAGGAUGACCAGCCACACUGUAACUGAGACACGGUCCAGACCCCUACGGGAGGCAGCAGUGGGGAAUAUUGCACAAUGGGCGCAAUCCUGAUGCAGCCAUGCCGCGUGUAUGAAGAAGGCCUUCGGGUUGUAAAGUACUUUCAUCGAGGAGGCGUUACUCGCAGAAGAAGCACCGGCUAACUCCGUGCCAGCAGCCGCGGUAAUAC
RNAcentral lists this ribosomal RNA (406 nucleotides) under uncultured bacterium. RNAcentral's name for it is "partial 16S ribosomal RNA". It matches the Rfam family "Bacterial small subunit ribosomal RNA", at positions 30 to 526 of the family's 1533-position model. The record is from RNAcentral.